Long non-coding RNA from Acipenser ruthenus (sterlet), 677 nucleotides. RefSeq lists it as uncharacterized. The transcript is spliced from 3 exons. Lineage: Eukaryota; Metazoa; Chordata; Actinopteri; Acipenseriformes; Acipenseridae. The record is from RefSeq and is a predicted model, not a curated record.
GCCUGAUUAGAAUGGUACUAUAAAAGGACAGGACUUGCUAACCAUGAGGGAGAACCAGGAAAUGCAGACUUCCAGCUGCCUGGCCAACACGCCAACACGCCAACACGCCAACCUAAACUUUUGGUGCAUGAACUGACUAUCCCUCUGGACGUGCCGCUGGGACAAAAGGAAGUGGACACGGCCCUGGGCAACCCCAUCGGGGGACCUGGAGGCAUCGCCACACCUCAAGGCUGGGUUAAUGUGCUGUAGAGGCAGUGCGUCUCAAGGGAGCCGAGCGACCAGCAGUAAGAGAAGCAGGCCGAGCACACCACCUGUGAUGUGCAGUGCUGGAGGAUCCGGAGUUCAGGACAUUCCAAGUUGCUGGACCGGAGAGAGCGCUGGGAGCUUGGAGUGAAUCAGCAAGCACACUACAGAUUGCUAUUGCGGCUAAGGGAGCCAAGAUUUGCAGCGGAUUGGGAGUGACAGUGGACUGGGAGGGUGUAUUGGGACUGGUGAAACUAUUUAUUUUUCUUGGUGGGGGCUAUAGGUUAGUGAAUUAUGUGCACUUAUUCACUUUAGGUGUCGAGUUUUAAUUAAAAGAAUGUGUGAAUGUUCCAUCGCUGUUUUAUAGUAACUAACUUCUUAUGGUGUUUUAUAGAUCAAUUAACUGGUUUCUGCAAUAAAGAAUUAUGAUUUUA